GAUGAACGCUGGCGGCGUGCCUAAUACAUGCAAGUCGAGCGAACAGACGAGGAGCUUGCUCCUCUGACGUUAGCGGCGGACGGGUGAGUAACACGUGGAUAACCUACCUAUAAGACUGGGAUAACUUCGGGAAACCGGAGCUAAUACCGGAUAAUAUAUUGAACCGCAUGGUUCAAUAGUGAAGGACGGUUUUGCUGUCACUUAUAGAUGGAUCCGCGCCGCAUUAGCUAGUUGGUAAGGUAACGGCUUACCAAGGCGACGAUGCGUAGCCGACCUGAGAGGGUGCUCGGCCACACUGGAACUGAGACACGGUCCAGACUCCUACGGGAGGCAGCAGUAGGGAAUCUUCCGCAAUGGGCGAAAGCCUGACGGAGCAACGCCGCGUGAGUGAUGAAGGUCUUCGGAUCGUAAAACUCUGUUAUUAGGGAAGAACAAAUGUGUAAGUAACUAUGCACGUCUUGACGGUACCUAAUCAGAAAGCCACGGCUAACUACGUG
Molecule: ribosomal RNA, 497 nt
Filed under: uncultured bacterium
Lineage: Bacteria
Description: partial 16S ribosomal RNA
Rfam family: Bacterial small subunit ribosomal RNA
Source: RNAcentral